GCCCCCGUAGCUCAACGGACAGAGCGCCGGCCUCCUAAGCCGGGCGUCCGGGUUCGAGUCCCGGCGGGGGCGCCA
Molecule: transfer RNA, 75 nt
Filed under: Adlercreutzia mucosicola
Lineage: Bacteria; Bacillati; Actinomycetota; Coriobacteriia; Eggerthellales; Eggerthellaceae
Also listed under: 2 other names
Description: tRNA-Arg
Rfam family: tRNA
About the family: Transfer RNA (tRNA) molecules are approximately 80 nucleotides in length. Their secondary structure includes four short double-helical elements and three loops (D, anti-codon, and T loops).
Source: RNAcentral